Molecule: ribosomal RNA, 415 nt
Filed under: uncultured bacterium
Lineage: Bacteria
Description: bacterial SSU rRNA
Rfam family: Bacterial small subunit ribosomal RNA
Source: RNAcentral
GGAAUAUUGGUCAAUGGGUGAGAGCCUGAACCAGCCAUGCCGCGUGCAGGAAGACGGCCUUCUGGGUUGUAAACUGCUUUUGCCAGGGGCUAAAACGCACAUGCGUGGGAAAUUGAAAGUACCUGGUGAAUAAGCCACGGCUAACUACGUUCCAGCAGCCGCGGUAAUACGUAGGUGGCAAGCGUUGUCCGGAUUUAUUGGGUUUAAAGGGUGCGUAGGCGGCUUUGUAAGUCAGUGGUGAAAUAUGGCAGCUUAACUGUCAAGGUGCCAUUGAUACUGCGAGGCUUGAGUACAGAUGAGGUAGGCGGAAUUGACGGUGUAGCGGUGAAAUGCUUAGAUAUCGUCAAGAACACCUAUAGCGAAGGCAGCUUACUAGGCUGUAACUGACGCUGAGGCACGAAAGUGUGGGGAUCAA